CUUCUUUGCUGGCGACCGGCGCACGGGUGAGUAACACGUAUCCAACCUGCCCUUUACUCGGGGAUAGCCUUUCGAAAGAAAGAUUAAUACCCGAUAGCAUAAUGAUUCCGCAUGGUUUCAUUAUUAAAGGAUUCCGGUAAAGGAUGGGGAUGCGUUCCAUUAGGUUGUUGGUGGGGUAACGGCCCACCAAGCCUUCGAUGGAUAGGGGCUCUGAGAGGAAGGUCCCCCACAUUGGAACUGAGACACGGUCCAA
Molecule: ribosomal RNA, 253 nt
Filed under: uncultured bacterium
Lineage: Bacteria
Description: partial 16S ribosomal RNA
Rfam family: Bacterial small subunit ribosomal RNA
Source: RNAcentral